CCUACGGGAGGCUGCAGUGGGGAAUAUUGGACAAUGGGCGAAAGCCUGAUCCAGCCAUGCCGCGUGUGUGAAGAAGGCCUUCGGGUUGUAAAGCACUUUCAGUGGGGAAGAAAGCCUUGGGGCUAAUACCCUCGAGGAAGGACAUCACCCACAGAAGAAGCACCGGCUAACUCCGUGCCAGCAGCCGCGGUAAUACGGAGGGUGCGAGCGUUAAUCGGAAUUACUGGGCGUAAAGCGCGCGUAGGCGGUCUGAUAAGCCGGUUGUGAAAGCCCCGGGCCCAACCUGGGAACGGCAUCCGGAACUGUCAGGCUAGAGUGCAGGAGAGGAAGGUAGAAUUCCCGGUGUAGCGGUGAAAUGCGUAGAGAUCGGGAGGAAUACCAGUGGCGAAGGCGGCCUUCUGGACUGACACUGACGCUGAGGUGCGAAAGCGUGGGUAGCAAACAGGAUUAGAUACCCUUGUAGUC
This 465-nucleotide ribosomal RNA is filed under the name Vreelandella stevensii. RNAcentral describes it as "partial 16S ribosomal RNA". It matches the Rfam family "Bacterial small subunit ribosomal RNA", at positions 338 to 795 of the family's 1533-position model. Lineage: Bacteria; Pseudomonadati; Pseudomonadota; Gammaproteobacteria; Oceanospirillales; Halomonadaceae. The record is from RNAcentral.